RNAcentral lists this long non-coding RNA (230 nucleotides) under Homo sapiens (human). Its description in RNAcentral is "HSALNT0045735". Lineage: Eukaryota; Metazoa; Chordata; Mammalia; Primates; Hominidae. The record is from RNAcentral.
CAUUCUACCAAAAAAGAAAAGAGAUAAGUAUCAGAUGCCAGCAAGCCACUGAUGACACCAGUAGACAUCAGGAAAACCAAAUCUCUAAGCCACAGUUAUAAGCAAAGAAAAUUUGAAGCCUCUAUUAAAAAAUCAUUCCUUCAACACAUCACUGACCAGGAACGUAAAUGGAUGAGCAGUAAGGACGCAAUGGAUUAAGCUCCUUUACAAGGGAAAGAUUUCUGAACUCC